UCCAGACUCCUACGGGAGGCAGCAGUGGGGAAUAUUGGGCAAUGGGCGCAAGCCUGACCCAGCAACGCCGCGUGAAGGAAGAAGGCUUUCGGGUUGUAAACUUCUUUUGACAGGGAAGAGCAGAAGACGGUACCUGUCGAAUAAGCCACGGCUAACUACGUGCCAGCAGCCGCGGUAAUACGUAGGUGGCAAGCGUUGUCCGGAUUUACUGGGUGUAAAGGGCGUGUAGCCGGGCUGACAAGUCAGAUGUGAAAUCCGGGGGCUCAACCCCCGAACUGCAUUUGAAACUGUUGGUCUUGAGUAUCGGAGAGGUCAUCGGAAUUCCUUGUGUAGCGGUGAAAUGCGUAGAUAUAAGGAAGAACACCAGUGGCGAAGGCGGAUGACUGGACGGCAACUGACGGUGAGGCGCGAAAGCGUGGGGAGCAAACAGGAUUAGAUACCCCCGUA
Molecule: ribosomal RNA, 447 nt
Filed under: uncultured bacterium
Lineage: Bacteria
Description: bacterial SSU rRNA
Rfam family: Bacterial small subunit ribosomal RNA
Source: RNAcentral